CUCAGUUAUUGUUAUGAGUUAUAUUUAUCAUUAUUUCAAGUAAAUUUACAUAAUAAUAAUUGAUGUAUGUUAAUAAUUUGAUUUAAAAAACUAAAUUUUCAAAUAUAAUAAAUAUCAGUAUAUUUAUUAGCAAUGGUGUUGUAAGUAACCUAUAUUGUAGAUAUUUACAUAUUUUAUAAAUUUGAAUGUAAUUUAUUUUUGUAUUAUUGAAUUGUUAUGUCAUUAUAUAAUUGUAAUUUAUUUUUAACAUAAUUUAUGUGUAAAAAAACAAUUAUAAUUAUAAUUGUUAAGGAUUGUAGAGGUGUAAUGAGUUUUAUAAAUAAAUAUUUUUGUGG
Cinara cedri is the source of this 335-nucleotide non-coding RNA. The record is from the annotation of a GenBank genome assembly. Lineage: Eukaryota; Metazoa; Arthropoda; Insecta; Hemiptera; Aphididae.